RNAcentral lists this transfer RNA (76 nucleotides) under Candidatus Peregrinibacteria bacterium RIFOXYA2_FULL_41_18. Its description in RNAcentral is "tRNA-Val". It matches the Rfam family "tRNA". From Rfam's summary of the family: Transfer RNA (tRNA) molecules are approximately 80 nucleotides in length. Their secondary structure includes four short double-helical elements and three loops (D, anti-codon, and T loops). RNAcentral also lists the same sequence under 1 other name. The record is from RNAcentral. Lineage: Bacteria; Candidatus Peregrinibacteriota.
GGACGGUUAGCUCAGUUGGUAGAGCGCAUCGUUGACGUCGAUGAGGUCACUGGUUCGAACCCAGUACCGUCCACCA